Molecule: ribosomal RNA, 273 nt
Filed under: uncultured bacterium
Lineage: Bacteria
Description: partial 16S ribosomal RNA
Rfam family: Bacterial small subunit ribosomal RNA
Source: RNAcentral
AACGUAGGGGGCGAGCGUUGCCCGGAAUCACUGGGCGUAAAGCGCGUGUAGGCGGUCCGCUAAGUCGGAUGUGAAAUCUCCGAGCUCAACUCGGAAACUGCAUCCGAUACUGGUGGACUUGAGGACGGUAGAGGUCGGUGGAAUGCCGAGUGUACCGGUGAAAUGGACAGAUAUUCGGCGGAACACCAGUGGCGAAGGCGGCCGACUGGGCCGUUCCUGACGCUGAGACGCGAAAGCCAGGGGAGCGAACCGGAUUAGAAACCCCCGUAGUCC